GAAAUAAGUAAUUCAAAAGAAAGCUUCUAACUUAUCUUUUUAGCGAUGAAAUUGCGCUAUUAUUUCU
This 67-nucleotide transfer RNA is filed under the name Staphylinoidea sp. 11 KM-2017. RNAcentral describes it as "tRNA-Ser". Lineage: Eukaryota; Metazoa; Arthropoda; Insecta; Coleoptera. The record is from RNAcentral.